RNAcentral lists this long non-coding RNA (842 nucleotides) under Homo sapiens (human). RNAcentral describes it as "HSALNT0209299". The record is from RNAcentral. Lineage: Eukaryota; Metazoa; Chordata; Mammalia; Primates; Hominidae.
CCUGUUCUUCUGGUCAGAUCGUAGGAACCCACACGAAGUGCAGCCCUCUUACGCAACCAGAUAUGCUAUGACUGUCUGGUACUUUGAUGCUGAAGAAAGGGCAGAAGCCAAAAAGAAAUUCAGGAAUUUAACUAGGAAAACUGAAUCUGCCCUCACUGAAGACUGACCGUGCUCUGAAAUCUGCUGGCCUUGUUCAUUUUAGUAACGGUUCCUGAAUUCUCUUAAAUUCUUUGAGAUCCAAAGAUGGCCUCUUCAGUGACAACAAUCUCCCUGCUACUUCUUGCAUCCUUCACAUCCCUGUCUUGUGUGUGGUACUUCAUGUUUUCUUGCCAAGACUGUGUUGAUCUUCAGAUACUCUCUUUGCCAGAUGAAGUUACUUGCUAACUCCAGAAAUUCCUGCAGACAUCCUACUCGGCCAGCGGUUUACCUGAUAGAUUCGGUAAUACUAUCAAGAGAAGAGCCUAGGAGCACAGCGAGGGAAUGAACCUUACUUGCACUUUAUGUAUACUUCCUGAUUUGAAAGGAGGAGGUUUGAAAAGAAAAAAAUGGAGGUGGUAGAUGCCACAGAGAGGCAUCACGGAAGCCUUAACAGCAGGAAACAGAGAAAUUUGUGUCAUCUGAACAAUUUCCAGAUGUUCUUAAUCCAGGGCUGUUGGGGUUUCUGGAGAAUUAUCACAACCUAAUGACAUUAAUACCUCUAGAAAGGGCUGCUGUCAUAGUGAACAAUUUAUAAGUGUCCCAUGGGGCAGACACUCCUUUUUUCCCAGUCCUGCAACCUGGAUUUUCUGCCUCAGCCCCAUUUUGCUGAAAAUAAUGACUUUCUGAAUAAAGAUGGCAACACA